This 492-nucleotide ribosomal RNA is filed under the name uncultured bacterium. Its description in RNAcentral is "partial 16S ribosomal RNA". It matches the Rfam family "Bacterial small subunit ribosomal RNA", at positions 29 to 507 of the family's 1533-position model. The record is from RNAcentral.
AGUGGACGCUGGCGGUAGGCCUAACACAUGCAAGUCGAACGGCAGCACAGUAAGGGCUUGCUCUUACGGGUGGCGAGUGGCGGACGGGUGAGGAAUACAUCGGAAUCUACUUUUUCGUGGGGGAUAACGUAGGGAAACUUACGCUAAUACCGCAUACGACCUACGGGUGAAAGCAGGGGAUCUUCGGACCUUGCGCGAUUGAAUGAGCCGAUGUCGGAUUAGCUAGUUGGCGGGGUAAAGGCCCACCAAGGCGACGAUCCGUAGCUGGUCUGAGAGGAUGAUCAGCCACACUGGAACUGAGACACGGUCCAGACUCCUACGGGAGGCAGCAGUGGGGAAUAUUGGACAAUGGGCGCAAGCCUGAUCCAGCCAUACCGCGUGGGUGAAGAAGGCCUUCGGGUUGUAAAGCCCUUUUGUUGGGAAAGAAAAGCAGCAGGUUAAUACCCCGCUGUUCUGACGGUACCCAAAGAAUAAGCACCGGCUAACUUCGUG